AGGAGCUGAACACUGUAUUAGUCAGUUGUUAAGGAGCUGAACACUGUAUUAGUCAGUUGUUAAGGAGCUGAACACUGUAUUAGUCAGUUGUUAAGGAGCUGAACACUGUAUUAGUCAGUUGUUAAGGAGCUUAACACUGUAUUAGUCAGUUGUUAAGGAGCUUAACACUGUAUUAGUCAGUUGUUAAGGAGCUUAACACUGUAUUAGUCAGUUGUUAAGGUGCUUAACACUGUAUUAGUCAGUUGUUAAGGUGCUGAACACUGUAUUAGUCAGUUGUUAAGGUGCUGAACACUGUAUUAGUCAGUUGUUAAGGUGCUGAACACUGUAUUAGUCAGUUGUUAAGGUGCUGAACACUGUAUUAGUCAGUUGUUAAGGUGCUGAACACUGUAUUAGUCAGUUGUUAAGGUGAUGAACACUGUAUUAGUCAGUUGUUAAGGAGCUGAACACUAUUUUUUAGCAGCUUUGAAACACUGUUUCUGUCACAAUGUACUUCACAGGCUGUAAUGGAAAAUCAAUAAACCUUAUCAUUGUUAGAACUCUUUUUUUUUUCUUUUCUUUUUUGUAUGUAAUAACUUACUUAAGGUUCUUUUAAAUGUUUGUAUUUUAACUUUCAUGUAAGAAGAGAAACUUUUGAUGGGAAUCAGUCAAAUAUUCUCCCCAAAAUAAUACAUUUGGCAUCAUGAAGAAAAUUCAUCAAGUAUUCUAAUGAAACUACAAAAAGUGACCCCAUAAUGGUGCACAUUUGAGGAAUGCAGUUUUAACCCUAACAUGAAUGCAUUAUGCAAGGUGUACUCAGUUUGUUUCAUUAGGUUGGAUUUCUUUUAGUGACACACACGUAUGUAUUUGGUCAAGCACCUUAUAGUAAUUAAUUAGAAAUAAGGUUAUUUUGAUAUACAUCACAGAUAUGUUAUCUUAAAAAACUCGGGAGAGUUGUGUGUAAAUCAUGUUGGCCACGUAUAUAUAUAUGUUUGAUAUCUCAGUAAUAGGAGGGUUAAAUAGUGUGUGAUUUAUUAAAGUUGCGCAUCUCAUCAAGUUAGGCUGAAAUUGAAUUAUUAACAGAUAUCUUUUACUUUAAAACCUAUUGGUAACUAGUUAGUAUCAUAAUACAUGUUGUCCUUUCUUUGACGAUUCAUCAAAAUAGUCAUUAGCAUGAGGAUGAAAUUUUAUCUAUUUUUCAAUAAUGUGGUGAUUGUUGGUGACUCCAAGUAUAGAAUUACUGUUCUGUGUAUGAUUUAUUAUGCAUAAAGUUCAAGUCCUAUUUGUACAACUUCCAAAAAUCAUUGCAUUUAAAUAAAGUUAUGGCUUAAUAAGCUUAUAAAGUCUUAA
Long non-coding RNA from Limulus polyphemus (Atlantic horseshoe crab), 1326 nucleotides. RefSeq lists it as uncharacterized. The transcript is spliced from 2 exons. NCBI's taxonomy places the organism in Eukaryota, Metazoa, Arthropoda, Merostomata, Xiphosura, Limulidae. The record is from RefSeq and is a predicted model, not a curated record.